Molecule: ribosomal RNA, 1944 nt
Filed under: Acidimicrobiia bacterium
Lineage: Bacteria; Bacillati; Actinomycetota; Acidimicrobiia
Description: partial 23S ribosomal RNA
Rfam family: Bacterial large subunit ribosomal RNA
Source: RNAcentral
GUGUUCAGACAGCCAGGAGGUUGGCUUAGAAGCAGCCAUUCCUUUAAAGAGUGCGUAACAGCUCACUGGUCGAAUGUUUUCGCGCGGAAGAUGUAACGGGGCUAAAUAUACAGCCGAAGCUUUGUCAUCAUAUUAUUAAUCCAGAUUUCGAUCCAGGAAAUAUGAUGGGUAGGAGAGCGUUGUAUGGGCAAUGAAGCAGCAACGAGAGUUAGUUGUGGAGACCAUACAAGUGAGAAUGUUGGCAUGAGUAGCGAAGGAAGAGUGAGAAUCUCUUCCGCCGAAUGUCCAAGGGUUCCUGGGGAAGGUUCGUCCGCCCAGGGUUAGUCGGGACCUAAGACGAGGUCGAGAGACGUAGCCGAUGGAUAACAGAUUGAUAUUUCUGUACCACUAUAUAAGCGCCAAAAUCGAAUAUAUGUCGCUAAGGAAAGCCUUCGGGCCUACCGACCCACAUAUUAUUAGAUUAGCAAUGGAGUGACGGAGAAGGAUAAAUGAGCCCAGGCGAUGGUUGACCUGGGGUAAAUGCGUAGGGUGAUCGACAGGUAAAUCCGUUGAUCAUGAAACCUGAGACAUGAUGCCGAGCCGCUUUUAGGCGAAGUCAUUGAUUCCAUACUUCCAAGAAAACCUUCUAGUUAGUUUAUAUAGUGCCCGUACCCCAAACCGACACAGGUGGACAAGUAGAGAAUACUAAGGCGAGCGAGAGAACUCUGGUUAAGGAACUCGGCAAAAUAGUUCCGUAACUUCGGAAGAAGGAACGCCCCAGUAAAGUGAGUGAUUAACUUCAUUAGCUUGAACGGGCCGCAGUGAUCAGACUCAAGCGACUGUUUAUCAAAAACACAGGAGGGUGCAAAGUUCGAAUACAACGUAUACCCUCUGACACCUGCCCGGUGCUGGAAGGUUAAGUGGAUAGGUUAGCUUCGGCGAAGCUUUGAAAUUAAGCCCCAGUAAACGGCGGCCGUAACUAUAACGGUCCUAAGGUAGCGAAAUUCCUUGUCGGGUAAGUUCCGACCUGCACGAAUGGUGUAACGAUUUGAGUACUGUCUCAACCAGAGACUCGGCGAAAUUGCAAUGUGAGUAAAGAUGCUCACUAUGCGCGACAGGACGGAAAGACCCCGGAACCUUUACUGCAACUUGAUAUUGAAUGUUUGUAUGCAUUAUGCAGGAUAAGUGGGAGACUAUGAAAUAAUGGCGCUAGCUGUUAUUGAGUCGACCUUGAGAUACCACUUAAUCCAUAUUGACCUUCUAACCUAGAUCCGUUAUCCGGAUCAGGGACAUUGUCUGGUGGGCAGUUUCACUGGGGCGGUGGCCUCCUAAAAAGUAACGGAGGCGCUCUAAGGUCACCUCAGCGUGGACGGCAAUCACGCAUCGAGUGUAAGUGCAAAAGGUGGCUUGACUGUGACACAAACAAGUGGAGCAGGUACGAAAGUAGGAACUAGUGAUCCCAUGGUUGCAUGUGGGUGCGCCAUGGCUCAUCGGCUAAAAGGUACUCCGGGGAUAACAGGCUUAUACCCCCCAAGAGUCCAUAUCGACGGGGGUGUUUGGCACCUCGAUGUCGGCUCUUCUCAUCCUGGGGCUGGAGCAGGUCCCAAGGGUUAGGCUGUUCGCCUAUUAAAGAGGAACGCGAGCUGGGUUCAGAACGUCGUGAGACAGUUCGGUCCCUAUCCGUCGCGCACGUAAGAAAUUUGAAGAAAGUUGUCCCUAGUACGAGAGGACCGGGAUGAACGAUCCGCUGGUGUGCCAGUUGUUCUGCCAAGAGCACCGCUGGUUAGCUACGAUCGGACGGGAUAAGCGCUGAAAGCAUCUAAGUGCGAAGCCCCUUCUAAGAUAAGAUUUCUCAUCGGGUUAACCGAUUAAGACUCCUUAUAGAACAUGAGGUUGAUAGGUCAGAAGUGUAAUUACAGUAAUGUAUGUAGCUGACUGAUACUAAUAAGUCGAGGGCUUGAACUG